CAAGCCCUGGAAACGGGGUCUAAUACCGGAUAUGACUGUCCAUCGCAUGGUGGAUGGUGUAAAGCUCCGGCGGUGCAGGAUGAGCCCGCGGCCUAUCAGCUUGUUGGUGAGGUAGUGGCUCACCAAGGCGACGACGGGUAGCCGGCCUGAGAGGGCGACCGGCCACACUGGGACUGAGACACGGCCCAGACUCCUACGGGAGGCAGCAGUGGGGAAUAUUGCACAAUGGGCGAAAGCCUGAUGCAGCGACGCCGCGUGAGGGAUGACGGCCUUCGGGUUGUAAACCUCUUUCAGCAGGGAAGAAGCGAAAGUGACGGUACCUGCAGAAGAAGCGCCGGCUAACUACGUGCCAGCAGCCGCGGUAAUACGUAGGGCGCAAGCGUUGUCCGGAAUUAUUGGGCGUAAAGAGCUCGUAGGCGGCUUGUCACGUCGGUUGUGAAAGCCCGGGGCUUAACCCCGGGUCUGCAGUCGAUACGGGCAGGCUAGAGUUCGGUAGGGGAGAUCGGAAUUCCUGGU
This 516-nucleotide ribosomal RNA is filed under the name uncultured Streptomyces sp. RNAcentral's name for it is "bacterial SSU rRNA". It matches the Rfam family "Bacterial small subunit ribosomal RNA", at positions 144 to 674 of the family's 1533-position model. The record is from RNAcentral. Lineage: Bacteria; Bacillati; Actinomycetota; Actinomycetes; Kitasatosporales; Streptomycetaceae.